RNAcentral lists this ribosomal RNA (492 nucleotides) under uncultured bacterium. RNAcentral's name for it is "partial 16S ribosomal RNA". It matches the Rfam family "Bacterial small subunit ribosomal RNA", at positions 30 to 507 of the family's 1533-position model. The record is from RNAcentral.
AUUGAACGCUGGCGGCAUGCUUUACACAUGCAAGUCGAACGGUAACAGGCCUUCGGGUGCUGACGAGUGGCGAACGGGUGAGUAAUGCAUCGGAACGUGCCCAGAGGUGGGGGAUAACGCAGCGAAAGCUGUGCUAAUACCGCAUGUGAUCUGAGGAUGAAAGCGGGGGACCAGGCAGCAAUGUUUGGCCUCGCGCCUUUGGAGCGGCCGAUGUCAGAUUAGGUAGUUGGUGGGGUAAAGGCCUACCAAGCCGACGAUCUGUAGCUGGUCUGAGAGGACGACCAGCCACACUGGGACUGAGACACGGCCCAGACUCCUACGGGAGGCAGCAGUGGGGAAUUUUGGACAAAGGGCGCGAGCCUGAUCCAGCAAUGCCGCGUGCGGGAAGAAGGCCUUCGGGUUGUAAACCGCUUUUGUACGGAACGAAAAGGCUCUGGCUAAUACCUGGGGCUGAUGACGGUACCGUAAGAAUAAGCACCGGCUAACUACGUG